RNAcentral lists this unclassified non-coding RNA (87 nucleotides) under Pseudomonas psychrophila. The record is from RNAcentral. Lineage: Bacteria; Pseudomonadati; Pseudomonadota; Gammaproteobacteria; Pseudomonadales; Pseudomonadaceae.
UGCAGGAGCGGGCUUGCUCGCGAUUCGGUCGCCGCGGUUUGAUUGACCGACCGCAGCGACCGAAUCGCGAGCAAGCCCGCUCCCACA